GGAGAGGUGGGUGAGUGGCUGAAACCAACGGUUUGCUAAACCGUCGUGCUGGAUCAAACUGGCACCGCGGGUUCGAAUCCCGCCCUCUCCG
This 91-nucleotide transfer RNA is filed under the name Planctomycetota bacterium. RNAcentral's name for it is "tRNA-Ser". It matches the Rfam family "tRNA". Rfam says of the family: Transfer RNA (tRNA) molecules are approximately 80 nucleotides in length. Their secondary structure includes four short double-helical elements and three loops (D, anti-codon, and T loops). The record is from RNAcentral. Lineage: Bacteria; Pseudomonadati; Planctomycetota. RNAcentral also lists the same sequence under 1 other name.